RNAcentral lists this ribosomal RNA (253 nucleotides) under uncultured bacterium. RNAcentral describes it as "partial 16S ribosomal RNA". It matches the Rfam family "Bacterial small subunit ribosomal RNA", at positions 524 to 776 of the family's 1533-position model. The record is from RNAcentral.
UACGAAGGGGGCUAGCGUUACUCGGAAUUACUGGGCGUAAAGCGCACGUAGGCGGCUUCUUAAGUCGGUGGUGAAAUCCUGGAGCUCAACUCCAGAACUGCCUUCGAUACUGGGAAGCUCGAGUCCGGGAGAGGUGAGUGGAACUGCGAGUGUAGAGGUGAAAUUCGUAGAUAUUCGCAAGAACACCAGUGGCGAAGGCGGCUCACUGGCCCGGUACUGACGCUGAGGUGCGAAAGCGUGGGGAGCAAACAGG